RNAcentral lists this ribosomal RNA (479 nucleotides) under uncultured bacterium. RNAcentral's name for it is "partial 16S ribosomal RNA". It matches the Rfam family "Bacterial small subunit ribosomal RNA", at positions 28 to 507 of the family's 1533-position model. The record is from RNAcentral.
GAUGAACGCUAGCGGGAGGCCUAACACAUGCAAGCCGAGCGGUAUGGAUAGCUUGCUCUCCAGAGAGCGGCGUACGGGUGCGUAACACGUGUGCAACCUACCUUUAUCUGGGGGAUAGCCUUUCGAAAGGAAGAUUAAUACCCCAUAAUAUAAUGAUUGGCAUCAAUUAUUAUUGAAAACUCCGGUGGAUAGAGAUGGGCACGCGCAAGAUUAGAUAGUUGGUGAGGUAACGGCUCACCAAGUCAAUGAUCUUUAGGGGUCCUGAGAGGGAGAUCCCCCACACUGGUACUGAGACACGGACCAGACUCCUACGGGAGGCAGCAGUGAGGAAUAUUGGACAAUGGGUGAGAGCCUGAUCCAGCCAUCCCGCGUGAAGGAUGACGGUCCUAUGGAUUGUAAACUUCUUUUGGACAGGGAUAAACCUACCCUCGUGAGGGUAGCUGAAGGUACUGUACGAAUAAGCACCGGCUAACUCCGUG